UACGGAGGGUGCAAGCGUUGUCCGGAUUUAUUGGGGUUAAAGGGUGCGUAGGCGGUCUUUUAAGUCAGUGGUGAAAGCCUCCAGCUUAACUGGAGAACUGCCAUUGAUACUGGAAGACUUGAGUACAGACGAGGUAGGCGGAAUUGACAGUGUAGCGGUGAAAUGCAUAGAUAUUGUCAAGAACACCGAUUGCGAAGGCAGCUUACUAGACUGUAACUGACGCUGAGGCACGAAAGUGUGGGGAUCAAACAGG
RNAcentral lists this ribosomal RNA (253 nucleotides) under uncultured bacterium. RNAcentral describes it as "partial 16S ribosomal RNA". It matches the Rfam family "Bacterial small subunit ribosomal RNA", at positions 524 to 776 of the family's 1533-position model. The record is from RNAcentral.